GAGGGGUGUUUGAACACUAAGAUCUGCUAAUUCUUAUCCCUGAAGUUAAACUCCUCAGACCCCUCA
RNAcentral lists this transfer RNA (66 nucleotides) under Cyclura pinguis. RNAcentral describes it as "tRNA-Ser". Lineage: Eukaryota; Metazoa; Chordata; Lepidosauria; Squamata; Iguanidae. The record is from RNAcentral.